RNAcentral lists this ribosomal RNA (426 nucleotides) under uncultured bacterium. Its description in RNAcentral is "partial 16S ribosomal RNA". It matches the Rfam family "Bacterial small subunit ribosomal RNA", at positions 354 to 796 of the family's 1533-position model. The record is from RNAcentral.
GUGAGGAAUUUUCCGCAAUGGGCGAAAGCCUGACGGAGCAAUGCCGCGUGAAGGAUGAAGGCCUAUGGGUUGUAAACUUCUUUUCUUAGAGAAGAAUAUUGACGGUAUCUGAGGAAUAAGCAUCGGCUAACUUCGUGCCAGCAGCCGCGGUAAUACGAAGGUCCCAAGCGUUGUUCGGAAUCACUGGGCGUAAAGGGAGCGUAGGCGGCGUGGUAAGUCAGAUGUGAAAUCCCGGGGCUCAACCCCGGAACUGCAUCCGAUACUGCCAUGCUUGAGGGUUGGAGAGGUAGCUGGAAUUCUCGGUGUAGCAGUGAAAUGCGUGGAUAUCGAGAGGAACACUCGUGGCGAAGGCGAGCUACUGGACAACAUCUGACGCUGAGGCUCGAAGGCCAGGGGAGCAAAAGGGAUUAGAAACCCGGGUAGUCC